This 468-nucleotide ribosomal RNA is filed under the name uncultured bacterium. RNAcentral's name for it is "partial 16S ribosomal RNA". It matches the Rfam family "Bacterial small subunit ribosomal RNA", at positions 28 to 507 of the family's 1533-position model. The record is from RNAcentral.
GACGAACGCUGGCGGCGUGCUUAACACAUGCAAGUCGAACGGAAAGGCCCUGCUUUUGUGGGGUGCUCGAGUGGCGAACGGGUGAGUAACACGUGAGUAACCUGCCCUUGACUUUGGGAUAACUUCAGGAAACUGGGGCUAAUACCGGAUAGGAGCUCCUGCUGCAUGGUGGGGGUUGGAACGUUUCGGCGGUUGGGGAUGGACUCGCGGCUUAUCAGCUUGUUGGUGGGGUAGUGGCUUACCAAGGCUUUGACGGGUAGCCGGCCUGAGAGGGUGACCGGCCACAUUGCGACUGCGAUACGGCCCAGACUCCUACGGGAGGCAGCAGUGGGGAAUAUUGCACAAUGGGCGGAAGCCUGAUGCAGCAACGCCGCGUGCGUGAUGACGGCCUUCGGGUUGUAAACCGCUUUCGCCUGUGACGAAGCGUGAGUGACGGUAAUGGGUAAAGAAGCACCGGCUAACUACGUG